Molecule: RNA transcript, 2562 nt
Organism: Drosophila mojavensis
Lineage: Eukaryota; Metazoa; Arthropoda; Insecta; Diptera; Drosophilidae
Gene: sqd
Gene name: RNA-binding protein squid
Exons: 8
Source: RefSeq, a predicted model, not a curated record
CUGUCUCUGGAUUUGUCAUUUUCCGGUCGUCAGCGUUCGCGCGAGUUUUGGCGAGUGUGCUAAGAAAAAGAUUGCUGAAAAUCGCUAAAUAGUGCUAUUUAAUUAAGUUUUAAUUGACAAUAGAAUACACAUAUACACCACCAAUUAAAAUGGCAGACAAACAAGUCGAUAGCGAAAUGAACGGCGAAGAUUUCACCAAGGAUGUUACCACCAAUGAUGUGGCGAGCCCUGAAAAUGGUGAAUCGACUCCCGCUGCCGGUGCUGCAAAUGGCAGUUCUGAAAAUACAGCCCCUGCGAGUAACCAGCGUGAUGACGACAGGAAACUAUUUGUUGGUGGACUCAGUUGGGAAACGACUGAGAAGGAAUUGCGCGAUCACUUCGGCAAGUUCGGUGAGAUCGAGAGCAUCAAUGUAAAGACAGAUCCUCAGACGGGCAGGUCACGCGGUUUCGCCUUCAUUGUGUUCACAAACACAGAGGCAAUUGAUCAGGUCAGCGCCGCUGAGGAGCACAUCAUCAACAGCAAGAAGGUGGAUCCCAAAAAGGCGAAGGCCCGCCAUGGCAAGAUCUUUGUCGGUGGCCUGACAACAGAGAUUAGCGAUGAGGAAAUCAAAACCUACUUCAGUCAGUUUGGCAAUAUUGUUGAGGUGGAGAUGCCAUUCGACAAGCAAAAGUCACACCGUAAGGGCUUCUGUUUCAUUACCUUCGAUUCAGAGCAGGUGGUUACCGAUCUGCUGAAAACGCCCAAACAGAAGAUCUCUGGCAAAGAAGUUGAUGUGAAGCGCGCAACACCAAAACCUGAGAAUCAAAUGAUGGCCAUGCGUGGUGGAGCGCGAGGCGGUAUGCGAGGUGGACGAGGCGGAUACGGACGUGGUGGUUAUUCCCAUCAAUGGGAUGGCCAGGGUUCGUAUUCGGGCUAUGGCGGCUAUGGCGGUUAUGGUUCCGGUGGCUUUGCCGAUUACUAUGCCGGUGGCUACUAUAAUGGAUAUGACUAUGGUUAUGACUACGGUUAUGGCGGCGGCUUUGAUGGUGGCUUUGGCGGUAAUGGCUACGGGAGCGGCGGCGGCGCUGGCGGGCGCGGUGCCGGAGGUCCGCGUGGCGGUCCCAAAGGCGGAGGCGGUGGCUUCAACGGUGGCAAGCAGCGCGGCACUGGACGCCAGCCACGACACCAGCCCUACUAAUCGGGCGGCAUUUGGAGCCCGACAUCUACUUAUAACUGCAAAACUAUUUGAAUUUUACUUAGUUUAGUUUGUUAUGUAUACAACAAAAUCAACAAUUACAACAACAACAAGGAGAAGAACACACAACAUACACUUUCGCAUGCGCAUCUAUAAACUUCUAUAAAGCGACUGCUGGGCAGAACCCGUAUUCCCAUGGCAAAUUGCAGUCCAGAGGAACAGAAAUACAACAACUAUACACACUUUGUUGUGUAGCACCAUUCCAACAACAACAUCAACAACAAGAACAACAACCAAAACUACUAUAGCAGAAGGCAGAAGGCAAUUACAUGUCCAGGAAGCAACGCAUCAUCUAUAUAUAAUUAAAUAUAUAUAUAUAUAUACACGCAGCAAGGAAGAGAGAGAACUUAGAGUUAGGCUUGGAGAGAUGUAAUUUUUCAGCAUGUGGCUAAUUUUUCAUAGCCACACGCUCGUUAAGCCAGCAUUGCCCACCAAGAGAACCCACACUGUAUCACAUAACAUUAUGCCUCACCCACUUAUGCUGUAUGUGUUUGUAAGAAGAGAGUGUGUGGGUGUGUGUGUGUGUGUGGGGUCAAACUAAUUUGUUUUUUCUUAUGUGAAGUCUCAUACAUUAUGCGAGGUAAUUGUUUAACUUGUAAGCAGGGUCAGACACACAUGCACACACACAUACGGAUACAGAGAUAAAUGCAACACACAUACAACAAGCUACACUCACACACAGAAACACAUAGAGAUACGAAUUCAGAAAUCAUAUACGGCAACCAUGUUUAAUAGUAACAGUAAAUACAUUAUAUAAAAUACAAUAGUCGUUAAGUAUUUGUUUAAACUUAAUUAAUUAAUAAUUGUAAUAUGUAAUACAUAAUAAUUAUUAUCAUAGUGCAACGCUAGGCAGCUGGCGCGCCAGCGGUGCGGGCGGGCGAUCUUUAAAGCGGGCAACCGCCGCGCAUUGUCCAAGUCCGCAUUCAACUACAACAAACAACAAAUCCACCAAAUUACAAAUAACAAAUGAUUUUUCCGAUAUAAAUGGUAAACGUUUUUUUUUGUGUAUGUAUUUGCGCUCAUUAAUAGUCUAUAAAGUACACAUAUAUACAUAUAUAAUGUAUAUGUAUACAAAUUAAAAGAGAAUUUUAUAUUUUAAUACAAAUCUAAUGCAGCAUGACAAGAACAAAGUAAACAACUAUUAAAACUUGCAUCAAGCUCUAUAAUAAUGAUGAAUAAUAAGAAUUAUUAUUAAAUCCAAACUGAACUACAUAAUGUAUAGUUUUUUCCACGAGACUACUGCGAGUAUAUUUGUUAAACCUAAAUAGGCAUAUAUCUAUAUAUACCUACAUAUAACUCUAUACAAAUAACUAUAGCUAUUUAAAAA